CAGUCGCCACGGUAAUACGUAGGGUGCGAGCGUUAAUCGGAAUUACUGGGCGUAAAGCGUGCGCAGGCGGUUAUAUAAGACAGAUGUGAAAUCCCCGGGCUCAACCUGGGACCUGCAUUUGUGUCUGUAUAGCUAGAGUACGGUAGAGGGGGAUGGAAUUCCGCGUGUAGCAGUGAAAUGCGUAGAUAUGCGGAGGAAUACCGAUGGCGAAGGCAGCCCCCUGGGAUAACACUGACGCUCAUGCACGAAAGCGUGGGGAGCAAACAGGAUUAGAUACCCCCGUAGUCCCUGUCUCUUAUAC
Molecule: ribosomal RNA, 301 nt
Filed under: uncultured bacterium
Lineage: Bacteria
Description: partial 16S ribosomal RNA
Rfam family: Bacterial small subunit ribosomal RNA
Source: RNAcentral